Molecule: ribosomal RNA, 570 nt
Filed under: Vibrio sp.
Lineage: Bacteria; Pseudomonadati; Pseudomonadota; Gammaproteobacteria; Vibrionales; Vibrionaceae
Description: bacterial SSU rRNA
Rfam family: Bacterial small subunit ribosomal RNA
Source: RNAcentral
CGCAAGAUUAAAACUCAAAUGAAUUGACGGGGGCCCGCACAAGCGGUGGAGCAUGUGGUUUAAUUCGAUGCAACGCGAAGAACCUUACCUACUCUUGACAUCCAGAGAACUUUCCAGAGAUGGAUUGGUGCCUUCGGGAACUCUGAGACAGGUGCUGCAUGGCUGUCGUCAGCUCGUGUUGUGAAAUGUUGGGUUAAGUCCCGCAACGAGCGCAACCCUUAUCCUUGUUUGCCAGCGAGUAAUGUCGGGAACUCCAGGGAGACUGCCGGGGAUAACCCGAAGGAAGGUGGGGACGACGUCAAGUCAUCAUGCCCCUUACGAGCAGGGCUACACACGUGCUACAAUGGCCAAUACAGAGGGCGGCCAACUUGCAGAAGUGAGCGAAUCCCAAAAAGUGCGUCUAAGUCCGGAUUGAGGUCUGCAACUCGACUCCAUGAAGUCGGAUUCGCUAGUAAUCGUGGAUCAGAAUCCCACGGUGAAUACGUUCCCGGGCCUGGUACAACCGCCCGUCAACCAUGGAAGUGGCUGCAAAAGAAGAGGUAGUUAACCUUCGGGGGAGGCUACCACUUG